UCUAACGUGGCAGAUAAGUGCGGUGGAUUUAAGCUCCACAAAUAAAGUCAUCAUGACUUUCAUUAGAA
Molecule: transfer RNA, 68 nt
Filed under: Amitermes sp. 4 TB-2017
Lineage: Eukaryota; Metazoa; Arthropoda; Insecta; Blattodea; Termitidae
Description: tRNA-Leu
Source: RNAcentral